UAGGGAAUUUUUCACAAUGAGCGAAAGCUUGAUGGAGCAAUGCCGCGUGAACGAUGAAGGUCUUUAAGAUUGUAAAGUUCUUUUAUUUGGGAAGAAUGACUUUAGCAGGUAAUGGCUAGAGUUUGACUGUACCAUUUUGAAUAAGUGACGACUAACUAUGUGCCAGCAGUCGCGGUAAUACAUAGGUCGCAAGCGUUAUCCGGAUUUAUUGGGCGUAAAGCAAGCGCAGGCGGAUUGAAAAGUCUGGUGUUAAAGGCAGCUGCUUAACAGUUGUAUGCAUUGGAAACUAUUAAUCUAGAGUGUGGUAGGGAGUUUUGGAAUUUCAUGUGGAGCGGUGAAAUGCGUAGAUAUAUGAAGGAACACCAGUGGCGAAGGCGAAAACUUAGGCCAUUACUGACGCUUAGGCUUGAAAGUGUGGGGAGCAAAUAGGAUUAGAUACCCUAGUAGUCCACACCGUAAACGAUGGAUACUAGCUGUCGGGGCGAUCCCCUCGGUAGUGAAGUUAACACAUUAAGUAUCUCGCCUGGGUAGUACAUUCGCAAGAAUG
This 547-nucleotide ribosomal RNA is filed under the name uncultured bacterium. Its description in RNAcentral is "bacterial SSU rRNA". It matches the Rfam family "Bacterial small subunit ribosomal RNA", at positions 355 to 896 of the family's 1533-position model. The record is from RNAcentral.